AUUGAACGCUGGCGGCAUGCCUUACACAUGCAAGUCGAACGGCAGCACGGGAGCAAUCCUGGUGGCGAGUGGCGAACGGGUGAGUAAUACAUCGGAACGUGCCCAGUAGUGGGGGAUAGCCCGGCGAACGCCGGAUUAAUACCGCAUACGACCUGAGGGUGAAAGCGGGGGAUCGCAAGACCUCGCGCUAUUGGAGCGGACGAUGUCAGGUUAGCUAGUUGGAGGGGUAAAGGCCUACCAAGGCAACGAUCUGUAGUUGGUCUGAGAGGACGACCAGCCACACUGGGACUGAGACACGGCCCAGACUCCUACGGGAGGCAGCAGUGGGGAAUUUUGGACAAUGGGGGCAACCCUGAUCCAGCAAUGCCGCGUGCAGGAAGAAGGCCUUCGGGUUGUAAACUGCUUUUGUCAGGGAAGAAAUCCUCUGGGUUAAUACCCCGGGGGGAUGACGGUACCUGAAGAAUAAGCACCGGCUAACUACGUGCCAGCAGCCGCCGUAA
This 500-nucleotide ribosomal RNA is filed under the name uncultured bacterium. RNAcentral's name for it is "partial 16S ribosomal RNA". It matches the Rfam family "Bacterial small subunit ribosomal RNA", at positions 29 to 523 of the family's 1533-position model. The record is from RNAcentral.